This 501-nucleotide ribosomal RNA is filed under the name uncultured bacterium. RNAcentral's name for it is "partial 16S ribosomal RNA". It matches the Rfam family "Bacterial small subunit ribosomal RNA", at positions 30 to 523 of the family's 1533-position model. The record is from RNAcentral.
AUUGAACGCUGGCGGCAGGCUUAACACAUGCAAGUCGAGCGGAGAGAGGUAGCUUGCUACUGAUCUUAGCGGCGGACGGGUGAGUAAUGCUUAGGAAUCUGCCUAGUAGUGGGGGACAACAUCUCGAAAGGAAUGCUAAUACCGCAUACGUCCUACGGGAGAAAGCAGGGGAUCUUCGGACCUUGCGCUAAUAGAUGAGCCUAAGUCGGAUUAGCUAGUUGGUGGGGUAAAGGCCUACCAAGGCGACGAUCUGUAGCGGGUCUGAGAGGAUGAUCCGCCACACUGGGACUGAGACACGGCCCAGACUCCUACGGGAGGCAGCAGUGGGGAAUAUUGGACAAUGGGCGCAAGCCUGAUCCAGCCAUGCCGCGUGUGUGAAGAAGGCCUUAUGGUUGUAAAGCACUUUAAGCGAGGAGGAGGCUACUUUAGUUAAUACCUAGAGAUAGUGGACGUUACUCGCAGAAUAAGCACCGGCUAACUCUGUGCCAGCCGCCGCAGUAA